AUAAUUGUUGAAAUGAUACUUAUGGGUAUCAGCUUUAACCCGCUGUUCCGUCAGCGGUAGCCUACCGACCAAUGCACCUUAACGUUGUAUUAAGCGGUCGGGACAAAGUACACUUUCGUAAGACAAGACAGAACCGUGAGGGAAAGUCAAGUACGGUUAGUAUCAUACCGUAGAGUGGCGAGGCUGGAUAGUAUGGUUAGCGUAAGCGAACUGUCAGUAAACUUCGUAAUGUCACGAAAGAGUGUAAGAUACUGGUACACUCUCCCCAAAAGGGAAGCGGUCGGUUAAUCCUCUCCAUGGUAGGAUUACACGGAUAUAAGCACCGCCGGAGGAUGAGACAGAACCUAACCUAUCCGUUAGUUAUCUAUGUGGAACAUGGUAAGCCUGUAUAUCUCCUGUUAUGUCAAAGUGGCAGGUAAGCUGACAGCAAUGGAAGCUGAACGGUGUGCAGGUAUAAGAUAACAGAAAAAGCGAAUGCCGUUCUGUAAUGGAACGGAUACGGAUUGAGCCGACAUCACGAGUUGAUUUGGGCGACAUCAUCCGACACGAAAGUGGGCAGACUUCUGUGACAAUAUUCGGGAGGCAAGAUACCCGACUGUUGUCUAAUGGUAAUUCUUUACAAUUAACUUUUAGAACUUUCAAAAGAAGGA
This 650-nucleotide non-coding RNA is filed under the name Tannerella forsythia KS16. The record is from RNAcentral. Lineage: Bacteria; Pseudomonadati; Bacteroidota; Bacteroidia; Bacteroidales; Tannerellaceae.